GUGGUUUAAUUCGAUGCAACGCGAAGAACCUUACCUACUCUUGACAUCCACAGAAUUUGGCAGAGAUGCUAAAGUGCCUUCGGGAACUGUGAGACAGGUGCUGCAUGGCUGUCGUCAGCUCGUGUUGUGAAAUGUUGGGUUAAGUCCCGCAACGAGCGCAACCCUUAUCCUUUGUUGCCAGCACGUAAUGGUGGGAACUCAAGGGAGACUGCCGGUGACAAACCGGAGGAAGGUGGGGAUGACGUCAAGUCAUCAUGGCCCUUACGAGUAGGGCUACACACGUGCUACAAUGGCAGAUACAAAGUGAAGCGAACUCGCGAGAGCCAGCGGACCACAUAAAGUCUGUCGUAGUCCGGAUUGGAGUCUGCAACUCGACUCCAUGAAGUCGGAAUCGCUAGUAAUCGUAGAUCAGAAUGCUACGGUGAAUACGUUCCCGGGCCUUGUACACACCGCCCGUCACACCAUGGGAGUGGGUUGCAAAAGAAGUAGGUAGCUUAACCUUCGGGAGGGCGCUUACCACUUUGUGAUUCAUGACUGGGGUGAAGUCGUAACAAGGUAACCGUAGGGGAACCUGCGGUUGGAUCACCUCCUUACCU
Molecule: ribosomal RNA, 596 nt
Filed under: Yersinia pestis
Lineage: Bacteria; Pseudomonadati; Pseudomonadota; Gammaproteobacteria; Enterobacterales; Yersiniaceae
Description: bacterial SSU rRNA
Rfam family: Bacterial small subunit ribosomal RNA
Source: RNAcentral